GACGAACGCUGGCGGCGUGCCUAAUACAUGCAAGUUGAGCGCUGAAGGUUGGUACUUGUACCAACUGGAUGAGCAGCGAACGGGUGAGUAACGCGUGGGGAAUCUGCCUUUGAGCGGGGGACAACAUUUGGAAACGAAUGCCAAUACCGCAUAAAAACUUUAAUCACAAGUUUUAAGUUUGAAAGAUGCAAUUGCAUCACUCAAAGAUGAUCCCGCGUUGUAUUAGCUAGUUGGUGAGGUAAAGGCUCACCAAGGCGAUGAUACAUAGCCGACCUGAGAGGGUGAUCGGCCACAUUGGGACUGAGACACGGCCCAAACUCCUACGGGAGGCAGCAGUAGGGAAUCUUCGGCAAUGGACGAAAGUCUGACCGAGCAACGCCGCGUGAGUGAAGAAGGUUUUCGGAUCGUAAAACUCUGUUGGUAGAGAAGAACGUUGGUGAGAGUGGAAAGUUCAUCAAGUGACGGUAACUACCCAGAAAGGGACGGCUAACUACGUG
This 497-nucleotide ribosomal RNA is filed under the name uncultured bacterium. Its description in RNAcentral is "partial 16S ribosomal RNA". It matches the Rfam family "Bacterial small subunit ribosomal RNA", at positions 28 to 507 of the family's 1533-position model. The record is from RNAcentral.